CCGCGGGCAGCGCCGGGGCCGGUAUGGGCGGGCACGGACCUGCCGGCGGCACACGGCCGGAGAGCAGCGAUCGGAGCUCGGUUCUUGACUUGAGGUUCUUGGGGCCUCCUUGUGGACAUUUCUGCUCCUCCUAACAAGCAGGGUAUUACAGGUAACGGAAAGGAAACACAUCCCUAGUUGAUGAAGGAUGCAGUACCAAGCCGAAGACAUUUUAUACAAGGUUUGUGAGUAGCAGACACUUGGUUUUCUGUGGAACUCCUGCAACUGCAGGCUCGGGGUGAUGGGAAAGAGGAGCGACCCAGGACAGCACCACCGAGUCACCCCCACCGUGCCACCGCCGGCACUGGGGAAAGAGGAGAUGGAGGCACUGAGUCUGCAGAUCCUACUCGUCUGAACUUCAGACUUCAUUUCACAAGGAGACCAUGUACAGAAAGAAUCAACUCAAAGAACUUACAAAUUACUAAGUGUCCCACUGGCAAUAAAAUUGUCACAGAGUUUAAUACAAUCACCCACAGAAUUUAAUACAAAAGUUGUCGCGUUUUUCUGGCAA
Melospiza melodia melodia is the source of this 550-nucleotide long non-coding RNA. RefSeq lists it as uncharacterized. The transcript has 2 exons. The record is from RefSeq and is a predicted model, not a curated record. NCBI's taxonomy places the organism in Eukaryota, Metazoa, Chordata, Aves, Passeriformes, Passerellidae.